AUUAGGUGACCGCGCAAGGCUCAUUAAAUCAGUUAUGGUUCCUUAGAUCGUACCCACAAUUACUUGGAUAACUGUGGUAAUUCUAGAGCUAAUACAUGCAAACAGAACUCCGACCGGAGACGGAAGGAGUGCUUUUAUUAGAUCAAAACCAAUCGGUGGCGGGCGUUCGCGCGCUCGUUAUCGUACAACUUGGUGAUUCUGAAUAACUUUAUGCUGAUCGCACGGUCUCGCACCGGCGACGCAUCUUUCAAAUGUCUGCCUUAUCAACUGUCGAUGGUAGGUUCUGCGCCUACCAUGGUUGUAACGGGUAACGGGGAAUCAGGGUUCGAUUCCGGAGAGGGAGCCUGAGAAACGGCUACCACAUCCAAGGAAGGCAGCAGGCGCGCAAAUUACCCACUCCCGGCACGGGGAGGUAGUGACGAAAAAUAACGAUACGGGACUCAUCCGAGGCCCCGUAAUCGGAAUGAGUACAAUCUAAACCCUUUAACGAGGAUCAAUUGGAGGGCAAGUCUGGUGCCAGCAGCCGCGGUAAUUCCAGCUCCAAUAGCGUAUAUUAAAGUUGUUGCGGUUAAAAAGCUCGUAGUCGAAUCUGUGUCCCACGCCGCCGGUUCAUCGUCCGCGGUGUCAACUGGCGUGUCGCGGGACGUCCAGCCGGUGGGCUUAGCUUUUUGCGGCCCAACUCAAUCCUGCCGCGGUGCUCUUCACUGAGUGUCGAGGUAGGCCGGCUCGUUUACUUUGAACAAAUUAGAGUGCUUAAAGCAGGCUAAAACUUCGCCUGAAUACUGUGUGCAUGGAAUAAUGGAAUAGGACCUCGGUUCUAUUUUGUUGGUUUUCGGAACCCCGAGGUAAUGAUUAAUAGGAACGGAUGGGGGCAUUCGUAUUGCGACGUUAGAGGUGAAAUUCUUGGAUCGUCGCAAGACGGACAGAAGCGAAAGCAUUUGCCAAAAACGCUUUCUUUGAUCAAGAACGAAAGUUAGAGGUUCGAAGGCGAUCAGAUACCGCCCUAGUUCUAACCAUAAACGAUGCCAGCUAGCGAUCCGUCGACGUUCCUCCGAUGACUCGACGGGCAGCUUCCGGGAAACCAAAGCUUUUGGGUUCCGGGGGAAGUAUGGUUGCAAAGCUGAAACUUAAAGGAAUUGACGGAAGGGCACCACCAGGAGUGGAGCCUGCGGCUUAAUUUGACUCAACACGGGAAACCUCACCAGGCCCAGACACCGGAAGGAUUGACAGAUUGAGAGCUCUUUCUUGAUUCGGUGGGUGGUGGUGCAUGGCCGUUCUUAGUUGGUGGAGCGAUUUGUCUGGUUAAUUCCGAUAACGAACGAGACUCUAGCCUGCUAACUAGGCGUAUUUUGACAUCGCAAAGGCCCGCCGGUAUCGGGGUGUUCGCGCGCUCCUUUAUCGUGCGCGGUUUUUACUGUCGGCGUACAAACAAUUCUUCUUAGAGGGACAGGCGGCUUCUAGCCGCACGAGAUUGAGCAAUAACAGGUCUGUGAUGCCCUUAGAUGUUCUGGGCCGCACGCGCGCUACACUGAAGGAAUCAGCGUGUCCUCCCUGGCCGAGCGGCCCGGGUAACCCGCUGAACCUCCUUCGUGCUAGGGAUUGGGGCUUGCAAUUGUUCCCCAUGAACGAGGAAUUCCCAGUAAGCGCGAGUCAUAAGCUCGCGUGAUA
This 1668-nucleotide ribosomal RNA is filed under the name Involvulus cornix. Its description in RNAcentral is "SSU rRNA". It matches the Rfam family "Eukaryotic small subunit ribosomal RNA", at positions 78 to 1646 of the family's 1831-position model. The record is from RNAcentral. Lineage: Eukaryota; Metazoa; Arthropoda; Insecta; Coleoptera; Attelabidae.